Molecule: ribosomal RNA, 460 nt
Filed under: uncultured bacterium
Lineage: Bacteria
Description: partial 16S ribosomal RNA
Rfam family: Bacterial small subunit ribosomal RNA
Source: RNAcentral
CCUACGGGAGGCAGCAGUGAGGAAUAUUGGUCAAUGGACGAGAGUCUGAACCAGCCAAGUAGCGUGAAGGAUGACUGCCCUAUGGGUUGUAAACUUCUUUUAUAUGGGAAUAAAAUGUUCCACGUGUGGGAUUUUGUAUGUACCAUAUGAAUAAGGAUCGGCUAACUCCGUGCCAGCAGCCGUGGUAAUACGGAGGAUCCGAGCGUUAUCCGGAUUUAUUGGGUUUAAAGGGGGCGUAGGUGGAUUGUUAAGUCAGUUGUGAAAGUUUGCGGCUCAACCGUAAAAUUGCAGUUGAAACUGGCAGUCUUGAGUACAGUAGAGGUGGGCGGAAUUCGUGGUGUAGCGGUGAAAUGCUUAGAUAUCACGAAGAACUCCGAUGGCGAAGGCAGUUCACUGGACUGCAACUGACACUGAGGCUCGAAAGUGUGGGUAUCAAACAGGAUUAGAUACCCGAGUAGUC